This 763-nucleotide ribosomal RNA is filed under the name uncultured bacterium. RNAcentral describes it as "bacterial SSU rRNA". It matches the Rfam family "Bacterial small subunit ribosomal RNA", at positions 326 to 1075 of the family's 1533-position model. The record is from RNAcentral.
ACGGUCCNANAUUCCUUNCGGGAGGGCACCNAGUGGGAAUUUUUGCNCAAUGGGCGCCAAGCCUUAAUGCAGCAACCNCGGCGUAAGUNAAAAAGCCUUUGGGUUGUAAACUCUUUCGGUUNANAAAAAGGGUCGUUAGAUUAAUANACUAGCGAUUUGACGGUAUCAAAAGAANAAGUACCGGCUAACUCCGUGCCAGCAGCCGCGGUAAUACGAGGGUACAAGCGUUGUUCGGAAUUACUGGGCGUAAAGGGCGCGUAGGCGGGUUAGUGUGUCGAUUGUGAAAUCCCCAAGCUCAACUUGGGAAUUGCAGUCGAAACUACUGAUCUUGAAUGCUCAAGAGGGUGGCGGAAUUCCAGGUGUAGAAGUGAAAUUCGUAGAUAUCUGGAGGAACACCGGAGACGAAGGUGGCUACCUGGUGGUGCAUUGACGCUGAGGCGCGAAAGCGCGGGGAUCAAACAGGAUUAGAUACCCUGGUAGUCCGCGCCGUAAACGAUGGAUACUAGGCGUUCGAAGUGUUAACCCUUUGAGUGCCGAAGCUCACGCAUUAAGUAUCCCGCCUGGGAAGUACGGUCGCAAGACUAAAACUCAAAGGAAUUGACGGGGGCCCGCACAAGAGGUGGAGUAUGUGGUUUAAUUCGAAGCAACGCGCAGAACCUUACCUGGUCUUGACAUCCUACGACGACUGCAGAGAUGUAGUUUCCCUUUCGGGGGCGUAGAGACAGGUGCUGCAUGGCUGUCGUCAGCUCGUGUUGUGAAAUGU